GGGUGGUAAUGCCGGAUGCUCCAGUUGGAUGCAUGUCCUUCUGGGAAAGAUUCAUCGGUAUGGGAUGGGGUCGCGUCCUAUCAGCUUGAUGGCGGGGUAACGGCCCACCAUGGCUUCGACGGGUAGCCGGCCUGAGAGGGCGACCGGCCACAUUGGGACUGAGAUACGGCCCAGACUCCUACGGGAGGCAGCAGUGGGGAAUAUUGCACAAUGGGCGCAAGCCUGAUGCAGCGACGCCGCGUGCGGGAUGACGGCCUUCGGGUUGUAAACCGCUUUUGACUGGGAGCAAGCCCUUCGGGGUGAGUGUACCUUUCGAAUAAGCACCGGCUAACUACGUGCCAGCAGCCGCGGUAAUACGUAGGGUGCAAGCGUUAUCCGGAAUUAUUGGGCGUAAAGGGCUCGUAGGCGGUUCGUCGCGUCCGGUGUGAAAGUCCAUCGCUUAACGGUGGAUCCGCGCCGGGUACGGGCGGGCUUGAGUGCGGUAGGGGAGACUGGAAUUCCCGGUGUAACGGUGGAAUGUGUAGAUAUCGGGAAGAACACCA
This 542-nucleotide ribosomal RNA is filed under the name Bifidobacterium adolescentis. RNAcentral describes it as "bacterial SSU rRNA". It matches the Rfam family "Bacterial small subunit ribosomal RNA", at positions 158 to 711 of the family's 1533-position model. The record is from RNAcentral. Lineage: Bacteria; Bacillati; Actinomycetota; Actinomycetes; Bifidobacteriales; Bifidobacteriaceae.